RNAcentral lists this ribosomal RNA (490 nucleotides) under uncultured bacterium. Its description in RNAcentral is "partial 16S ribosomal RNA". It matches the Rfam family "Bacterial small subunit ribosomal RNA", at positions 30 to 507 of the family's 1533-position model. The record is from RNAcentral.
AUUGAACGCUGGCGGCAGGCCUAACACAUGCAAGUCGAACGGUAACAGGAAACAGCUUGCUGUUUCGCUGACGAGUGGCGGACGGGUGAGUAAUGUCUGGGAAACUGCCUGAUGGAGGGGGAUAACUACUGGAAACGGUAGCUAAUACCGCAUAACGUCGCAAGGCCAAAAAGGGGGACCUUCGGGCCUCUUGCCAUCGGAUGUGCCCAGAUGGGAUUAGCUAGUUGGUGGGGGAACGGCUCACCCAGGCGACGAUCCCUAGCUGGUCUGAGAGGAUGACCAGCCACACUGGAACUGAGACACGGUCCAGACUCCUACGGGAGGCAGCAGUGGGGAAUAUUGCACAAUGGGCGCAAGCCUGAUGCAGCCAUGCCGCGUGUAUGAAGAAGGCCUUCGGGUUGUAAAGUACUUUCAGCGGGGAUGAAGGGAGUAAAGUUAAUACCUUGGCGCAUUGACGUUACCCGCAGAAGAAGCACCGGCUAACUCCGUG